This is a long non-coding RNA of Oreochromis niloticus (Nile tilapia), 250 nucleotides long. RefSeq lists it as uncharacterized. NCBI's taxonomy places the organism in Eukaryota, Metazoa, Chordata, Actinopteri, Cichliformes, Cichlidae. The transcript has 2 exons. The record is from RefSeq and is a predicted model, not a curated record.
AAACAAUCGCAUGAGUGCUGCUGUUUGACUGAAGCAGAAGAAUAAAGUAGUCGUGCCUGCCCUGUCUUCAACUGGUGACGCAGUAAUCUACCUGCUGCGGCUCACCUUUGUAUUGGCUCAUCAGCGGGCUCAGGUCGUACACUUUGCCCAGAAAGGACACCCACAGGUCCUCCGCCGUGUUGUGAGCCGCCACCUCCGAGGGAGUGAAGUACCUGGGCCGUCCUAUCAUCUGCAGGCAGCUGUGUCCAAA